GAUGAGGACUCAGAGGCUAUAAAGGAGAGACUCACAGAUGAUGUAGGGGCACCUUAUAGUGAUAUAGGCUGGAAUGGUUGUCCUUUCUUCUCUUCAACCAGAGGUACAACAGAAAUGAAAGCCAGAGAAAACCCUCAAAGCUGCAUGUACACUUACAGAGUACACAGAGCAACUAAAAAGAAAAGGGAAGAGGCAGAAUCAUCACCACUCACCUGCUGAGCUGUGAUCAGAGCUGUCCCUUUAGAAAUCCCUAAGACAGAAGCUUUGCUGCUGUUCAGAAGCAUUUUCCCUGAGAACACAUCAGAUUGCCUAGCAUGGACAUGAAUAAUUGAAGAACACCAUCACGGCAGCAGUCCUCCCAAGGGGCUUUUCCAACACCUUGUUAUCAGCUGAUAUGCUGCCUAGACAACCUCCUGGGAGCUCAGACUGCGAUCCCCUACUACGUCGAAGGGAAGGAAGCAAGCAUGACAGGGCUUAGAUGGCACCGUAAAUUCACUGCUGGACACCAUGGACCUGAUCCAGAGCAAACUGAGGUCAAAAAAAUCAUUCCCAUUGACUCCAACUGCAAACCUGCAUUAUACUGAGUGCACUUUAUUCCCACAGAAAUUAAUGGAAGAAGAUGCUGUUUAGUAUAUCAAAGAACCAUGUAAAGGUGACAGUGUAUUGUUUUAUCUACUGAAAAACAACAGUACAAAGUGACAUCAUUGCAUCACCGACAGUUCUAUCCUCUGACCUUUCCAUAUCUGUUUACCACCAUUUUUUGAAGGUGUCCAGAGAGAGAUGUGGUCAGUGUCCAAAGCAUGUAUUAAGCCCUACUUUUCUACCAGCCUACCAGGGGGGCACAAUAUUUGCAAAUUCAAUAGAAUGAGAAGAGCUGAAUAAUAAGAAAAGACAUGGAGACUACUUGAAAGUAUAGCUCACCUGGGAUGGCAGGUAAAGGUCUGUGGGGCUUAUCUUCAGUCUGAGGCCUGUGAAAUUCUGGGAGUGUGAGAGACUGCUUUGCAGAGGUCUGCAGAAAGGAGCUAAGGAAAGCAGCCAUGCAAAUAUCAUCAAAAUGCUGAAAGAGUUCCCUCUACAAAAGUGUCUGAACUGUGAGUUGUGAAGAUUUCAGAAGUUCCUUAUCUAAUGCUGCCCAUGAACAAAACAAAACAUCAGAAUUUGAGUACAAACACUUUUCAAGCACUGAAUGGGGUGUUAUUAAAAAUAAAAAAUAAUAAUAA
Molecule: non-coding RNA, 1220 nt
Organism: Anas platyrhynchos (mallard)
Lineage: Eukaryota; Metazoa; Chordata; Aves; Anseriformes; Anatidae
Source: RefSeq, a predicted model, not a curated record